CGCAAUGGGCGAAAGCCUGACGGAGCGACGCCGCGUGAUGGAUGACGUGCUUCGGUAUGUAAACAUUUUUUAUCGGGGACGAAGUUUAUUGACGGUACCCGAUGAAUAAGGGGCUCCUAACUCUGUGCCAGCAGGAGCGGUAAUACAGAGGCCCCAAGCCUUACCCGGAAUCACUGGGCGUAAAGGGUGUCGAGGCGGCCCUGUUAGUCUCUCGUAAAAUCCGCGGGCUUAACCUGCGGCGCGCGAGGGAAACGGCAGGGCUCGAGGGCCCGAGAGGUGCACGGAACUCAUGGCGGAGGGGUGAAAUCCCUUGAUAUCAUGGGGAACACCGAAGGCGAAGGCAGUCCACUGGCGCCUUCCCGACGCUCCCACACGAAAGCCC
This 382-nucleotide ribosomal RNA is filed under the name uncultured organism. Its description in RNAcentral is "bacterial SSU rRNA". It matches the Rfam family "Bacterial small subunit ribosomal RNA", at positions 367 to 762 of the family's 1533-position model. The record is from RNAcentral.